GUUAUCUGGAUUAUAAUAUUGGUGAUUUCUUUUUAUUUAGCAUCUUCUGUGAACACAUGUAUUAAUUACACUUCAAUUGCAGCCCCAUGUGUAUCACACUUCAAUUUCGAUUCUCCUUCUUUCUUCAGCCUAUGAUUCUCUCUUUUCAAGCUGUAUUGCAGCUACGUUUAAGCAAGGAAAAAAAAUAGGGCUUUACUUAUAAAAGAUAAUCCUGUGGUUGGUAUAAUGACUUUGACAUUUGGUUGGCUUUGGAAGAGAAACUCCCACAUUACAUCGUUCUUUGAAAGGUCGCGAGGAGAUCUGAGAGGGCUGUAAUGGAUAUUGUUUUAAAGAUUUUUCCUCUUCUGCUAAGUUCUUCAACACAACUGAUCAAAAUUUUCGAAGGUAUGAAAAUUCAUUUGAUAUGGGUGAUGCUGCAUCUGGGAUCAAGUCAGAAAUCGUUGAUAGCAGAUGCAUCAGAUGUUGUAUUAUUGUUAUACUAUCUAUAUGAUCUAUAUAUCUCAACUCUCUAAAGCCUCAACUUUUCAGUUACAUAAAUUACAUACAUGAAUAAGGUGUAUUUAAGAUUAAGCCUUAUAACUUUCACAUGCAAAUCUUUAUUUAGACAUUACAUAUGUAAUAUAAAAAUAGUUCUAAGUGAUUUUGAGAUCUAAACAUCGCUUCUUAUGUUAUGCCUAAUGAUGAUUAGUUCGCGCACAAUUUAUUUAACCAUUCCCUUAUUGUGUCUAUUUAUUUUCUAGAAAAGAAGAAAGUGUCAUAUUUUUGUAGAAAAAUUAUGAUGUUUCAUAAAUUAGAAAAUCUCAGUUGAAUUAUGGAAUCUCAGUUAAUUUAAAACAUUUUAGAGGUUAGAAAAGGUGCAUGUAUUAUGCAUUCAUCCUUCAAAAGAUAUUUUUCCCCCAUAAACCUAUAUGACACG
Solanum dulcamara is the source of this 916-nucleotide long non-coding RNA. RefSeq lists it as uncharacterized. NCBI's taxonomy places the organism in Eukaryota, Viridiplantae, Streptophyta, Magnoliopsida, Solanales, Solanaceae. The transcript is spliced from 5 exons. The record is from RefSeq and is a predicted model, not a curated record.